AAGAAAGAAAGAAAGAAAGAAAGAAAGAGAAAGAAAGAAAGAGAAAAAAGAAAAGAGAGAGAAUUGGUGGAUCACAAUAUAGACGCAUGGAUAACUUUAGAAAACAGCUGAUAAAUUUAUUCCCAAAGUGGGUGUCUUUUCUAUUCUCUCACCAGUGAUAUACAAUGUUUCCAGUAAUCUACAUUUUCAUCAAGACUUGACAUGCAGACUAUCGAGGGUCAACAGUAGAAGCCAGAAGACUUGUUAAGAAGCUAUGGAAGUAAUCCAGCCGUGAUCAGCUGCCAAAACAAAGGAAUAGAAAUGGAAGAGUUAGAGGCAGUGUUAUGCUAGAGCUGUCCCUUAGCGAGCUGAUUUUAAAGCUUGAAAUCGGCCAUGGAUGAAUUCUUGGCCUGAAAAAGGGGAAUCAAAAGACGUGCUUUCCUGUGCUUCAGCUGCAAUGUCUAUUUCUCAAGACGCUGAAAAAGAUGAUUUAGAGUUUUAUGAUUAAUGGAAGGGAGGAAUCUACUCUAAAGAAAUUGGAUAAUACUAUAAAUAAGAAAUAAAAAUUAUUUGACAAAAGCUAUCUUCCCCUUAGGGAUUAUAUGUACUACUGAUUUACCUUACUGUAUCUUAUUCAACAGAACGUUUUCAAAUAGUAUCAUAUUGCCAGUUACAUUGUGGUAUCAUUUUGAGACAAAUCAUUUGGGGUUAUUAAUAUAAAGAAUUGGACAGUUUAAAUGUAGAUGUGAUAAGCUAUUUUAAAAUUCAAAAUUGUUACAGCUUUUCAACUCAAAAUGAAGAAGCCAAUGACGCAUCUUACAGAAUAACUUAUAUACUGCAUUGGCUAGAGAAGCACAUACAAUAGCUGAGAGACUAAUAAAGCCUUAUAUGGUUGACAUUGUUAAUACCUACUGGUGAAAAGUUAGUAAAGUAAAUCAUGACACUGACACUUUCCAAUGACACAGUAACUUGCCACAUUAAAGAUUUAGCUGCAAUCAUGGAAGCUGAGUUAAUAUCUGCAGAGUUGUACUUUUGCCUUGCGAAAUCUACAGGCUUGGCUUUAUUUGCUGUUUUACCUGUAUUCAUACAGAAUCAGUACCAACCAAUCAUAGAAGUUUUCCUGUUUGAAUUAUUGACAACAAGUGCAAAUGGUGAUGAAAUAUUCCAUGUGCUUAUGUUGAUCACCUCCUUUUCAGUUGUUGAUGAGGGAGCAAUUCUCAUCCUAAGGUUAUGGAGAUGACCAAACAUACAACACCCAACACUGAACAGAUGAGAUCGACCACGGUAUAUUAGUCACACAUACUCACAGCCUGGAGUAGGAGCACACCGCACCAUGUUAGGGCCACAUGAGGGUAACACUUGGGAAGAGAGUGAACAAAUAAAGGGUUGUCGGGGGGCAGGCUUUGGUAGUAUCAAGAAGGUGGGGCACCCCUGGUUCCCAAGGGAAGAUGCCAUUGUCUUAUUUAAAUAAUUCCAUAGUUUGGCAGGGAUCUGAAAGCUACCACUCAGGAUAAGCCGGAAUUACAUUCAUUUGAUUUGAUAAGGAUUACUUGGCUAAGGCACCUUAUCUGUAGGAUCAGAAUGGGGAGGGAAACUUGCAGCUAGGCCAUUGUUUAGGCACCAAACUGUAACAGUAGUCACUGCAAUUUUUCCUGCUGUACUCUCACAGAAAAAAAAAAAAAGUCGCUUUCACUUAAGAAUGCCCUUGAUGUCCUUGAUGAAACAGUAAACAUUAUUCUUUUCAUUAAAUAUCAACCAUUGAGUAAACAUCUUUCGAAUAUAUUUUGUAUAAGGAAAUGGAAAGUACAAAUAAAACACUUCUAUACACUGAAGUACAAUGGCUGUCUCCAG
RNAcentral lists this long non-coding RNA (1830 nucleotides) under Homo sapiens (human). RNAcentral describes it as "HSALNT0078662". The record is from RNAcentral. Lineage: Eukaryota; Metazoa; Chordata; Mammalia; Primates; Hominidae.